CUACGGGGGGCUCCAGUGGGGAAUAUUGGACAAUGGGGGAAACCCUGAUCCAGCAAUGCCGCGUGUGUGAAGAAGGCCUGCGGGUUGUAAAGCACUUUCGGUUGGGAGGACUGCUUCUAGCACUAAUAUUGUUGGAAGUUGACGUUACCUUCAGAAGAAGCACCGGCAACUCCGUGCCAGCAGCCGCGGUAAUACGGAGGGUGCAUGCGUUAAUCGGAAUUACUGGGCGUAAAGCGCGCGUAGGCGGCUAGAUCAGUCGGGUGUGAAAGCCCCGGGCUUAACCUGGGAACUGCAUCCGAUACUGUCUAGCUUGAGUACAGGAGAGGAGAGUGGAAUUCCACAUGUAGCGGUGAAAUGCGUAGAUAUGUGGAGGAACACCAAUGGCGAAGGCAGCUCUCUGGCCUGAUACUGACGCUGAGGUGCGAAAGCGUGGGGAGCAAACAGGAUUAGAUACCCCGGUAGUC
This 464-nucleotide ribosomal RNA is filed under the name uncultured bacterium. RNAcentral describes it as "partial 16S ribosomal RNA". It matches the Rfam family "Bacterial small subunit ribosomal RNA", at positions 339 to 795 of the family's 1533-position model. The record is from RNAcentral.